Molecule: ribosomal RNA, 463 nt
Filed under: uncultured bacterium
Lineage: Bacteria
Description: partial 16S ribosomal RNA
Rfam family: Bacterial small subunit ribosomal RNA
Source: RNAcentral
GACGAACGCUGGCGGCGUGCUUAACACAUGCAAGUCGAACGGUGAAACCCUUCGGAGGGGAUGAGUGGGGAAGGGGUGCGUAAGAGGUGGGCAAGAGGAACCCGGCCCUGGGAUAACUCCAAGAACUUGGGGCUAAUACCGGAAGCUCACAGCUUCUCGCACGGGUGGUGGUGAAAAGGGUAUCCGGCUGGGGAUGGGCCCGCGGCCUAUCAGCUUGUUGGUGGGGUAGUGGCCUACCAAGGCGACGACGGGUAGCCGGCCUGGGAGGGUGACCGGCCACACUGGGACUGAGACACGGCCCAGACUCCUACGGGAGGCAGCAGUGGGGAAUAUUGCGCAAUGGGCGGAAGCCUGACGCAGCGACGCCGCGUGGGGGAUGACGGCCUUCGGGUUGUAAACCUCUUUCAGCAGAGACGAAGCGCAAGUGACGGUACCUGCUGAAGAAGCACCGGCCAACUACGUG